This is an RNA transcript of Diceros bicornis minor, 3410 nucleotides long. It is a transcript of the gene named HLA class I histocompatibility antigen, alpha chain G-like, with no coding region annotated. The record is from RefSeq and is a predicted model, not a curated record. NCBI's taxonomy places the organism in Eukaryota, Metazoa, Chordata, Mammalia, Perissodactyla, Rhinocerotidae. The transcript has 8 exons.
UACACAGUCUCCAUGGACCCGCCAGUUCUCCGACUCUCCCCAGACCCAGAGGAUGCGAGUCAAGGCACCCCGAACCCUCCUCCUGCUGCUCUCGGGGGCCCUGACCCUGACUGAGACCUGGGCGAGUCAGUGCUGGGUCGGAGGAAACGGCCUCUGCGGGGGGCGGAGCGAGGGGACCGCGCGGCGGGGACGCAGGACCCCCGGGGAAGGCUUCCACUCCCUGAGGCAUUUCAAAACCGUCGUGUCCCGGCCCGGCCGCGGGGAGCCCCGCUUCAUCGCCGUCGGCUACGUGGACGACACGCAGUUCGUGCGGUUCGACAGCGACGCCGCGAGUCCGAGGAUGGAGCCGCGGGCGCCGUGGGUGGAGCAGGAGGGACAGGAGUAUUGGGAGGAGCAGACGCGGAACGUCAAGGACACCGCACAGAAUUUACGAAUGGAACUUAACACCCUGCGCGGCUACUACAACCAGAGCGAGGCCGUGUCUCACACCUUCCAGUGGACGCACGGUUGCUACGUGGGGCCAAAUGGGAGCCUCCUCAGCGGGUACAGUCAGUACGCCUACGACGGCGUGGAUCACCUCUACCUGAACGAGGACCUGCGCUCCUGGACCGCGGCGGACACGGCGGCUCAGAUCACCCGGCGCAAGUGGGAGGCGGCAGGUGCAUCUGAACAGCACAAAAACUACCUGGAGGGCACGUGCGUGAAGUGGCUCCGCAGAUUCCUGGAGAACGGGAAUGAGACGCUGCAGUGCGUAGACCCACCAAAGACAUAUGUGACCCACUAUGCCAUCUCUGACCACGAGGUCACCCUGAGGUGCUGGGCCCUGGGCUUCUAUCCUGCGGAGAUCACCCUGACUUGGCAGCGUGAUGGGGAGGACCUGACCCAGGACACCGAGUUUGUGGAGACCAGGCCUGCAGGGGACGGGACCUUCCAGAAGUGGGCGGCUGUGGUGGUGCCUUCUGGAGAGGAGCAGAGAUACACGUGCCAUGUGCAGCAUGAGGGGCUGCCUGAGCCCCUCACCCUGAGGUGGAAGCUGCUUCCUGAGUCCAUCAUCCCCAUUGUGGGCAUCAUUGCUGGCCUGGUUCUCCUUGCAGUUGUGGUCACUGGAGCUGUGGUGGCUGGAGAUGUGAUCCGGAGGAAGAAGCACUCGGGUGGAAAAGGAGGGAGCUACACCCAGGCUGCAGGCACAAGUGGGAGGUGGCAGGUGUGGAGCACUGCAGAAACUACCUGGAGGACACGUGCAUGAAGUGGCUCCUCAGACGCCUGGAGAAGGGGAAGGAGAUGCUGCAGCGCAUAGGUACAAGGGGCUGCGGGGCCUUCCCAAUCUCUUCUCAGGCUGGGUGCCUCUUACAAGGAGAGGAAGAAAAUGGGGUGACACCAGAACUUAGUUGAGAGAAUAAGUCCAUCUAGGUUUUCAGAUCUGGUACAAGAGAGUGACUCCCCCAGAGGAACUGCCUUUCUCUCAAGGACUAUUAAUGGGUCCAGUCUCUUCAGGGAUGGAGGGGGAAGCCAUCCCUAAAAUAACUGAUAGUUGGUUCCCUUUGACUCUGGCAGAGGCUCUGGGACUCUCUCCCUCAGGCCUUGUUCUCUCCCUCACACCCUAUGUGUUUGAGGUCUGACUCCACCUUUUCUGAGUCACUCAGCCUCCACUCACAAACCCUUUUUAUCCCCCUAAGAGAUCUGCCUCAUACUUUGGGCUGUCUCACCCUGAUUCUAGAACUUUCCAAACAAUAGAUUAUCCCAGAUGCCUGUGUCCAGGCUGGUGUCUGGGUUUUGUGCUCCCUUCCCCCACUCCAUUGUCCUGUCUAUUCUCAAGAUGGCCACAUAAAUGCUGUUUCAGUGGCCCAAGAUAGAUGCAAAGUUCCUGAAUUUUCUUACCUUUCUUCUCAGACCCCCCCAAAAAUACAUAUGACCCACUACCCCAUCUUUGACCAUGAGGUCACCCUGAGGUGCUGGGCCCUGAGCUUCUACCCUGCAGAGAUCACCCUCACCUGGCAGCAUGAUAGGACGGACCUGACCCAGGACAUGGAGCUUGUGGAAACCAGGCCUGUGGGGGACGGGACCUGCCAGAAGUGGGCAACUGUUGUGAUGCCUUCUAGAGAGGAGCAGAGAUUCACAUGGCAUGUGCAGCAUGAGGGGCUUCCUGAGGCCAUCACCCUGAGAUGGGGUAAGGAGGAAGAUGAGGGGGUAGCCUCUUCUCAGGCAAAGCAGCAGCCCCUCUGGAAAACUUCUGCAGGAUCGAGGUUGAGGCCUUGGGAUCAGGACCCUCACCUUCCCAGAGCCACCUCCUCAGCACAACAUCCCAAUCAUGAGCGUCAUGCUGGCUUGGUUCUCUUUGUGGUCAUUGUUACCACUGGAGCUGUGAUGUGAAGAAAGAAGCCCUGAGCUAGGUAAGGGAGGGGGGAUCUGAAGUUUUCUUUUCAAGCCCAGGUAGAAGUUUGCCCUGCCUCCUUAAUGGGAACUACCAUCCACAUACAUGUGCUUGCUCAGUCUGGGGCCCUAUUUGCUAACACUUCCUCUUUAUUAAUGCACACAUAAAAAUGAAGGACAAACUUAUCACAUUGAUGAGUCUGGUGAUGGGGACCUGAUUCCCAGAAGUCACAGGACAGAGAGGAAGGUUGCUAUGAGGACAGACUUCCAGUGGGUGGUUGAUCCAUUCCCCAAUAUGUACUAUCCUCAUGUUUCAUGAUGCUAUCCUGGAUCUGUAGUCACAGUUCUGGAAACUUCUCUGGGGUCUAGGAGUAGGGGGUUCCUUUAGGAACUCAUGGCCCUGCCCCCUCCCUGGCUUCUCACAGGAUGGUUUCUUCCCACAGGUGGAAAAUGAGGGAGCUAUGCUCAGGCUGCAAGUAGGUUUGAGUGUGGAGUGAUCUCUGAGACCCUUGUGAUAGUGUAGACGGAAGCCCAUGGGUGGAGCUCACCCACCCCAUAGUUCUCCUUUAGUCUCAUCUCCUGUGGGCUCUGACCACAUGCUGUUUUUGUUCUUUCCCAGGAAGUGACAGUUCCCAGGGCUCUGAUGUGUCUCUCACGGCAGCUACCUUGUGGGAAACUGAGUGAUGCAAGAUUUGUUCAUCCCACCUCCAAUGUGACUUCAGGAACCUCUGACUUCUCUUUCUGCAAAGGGCAUCUGAAUGUGUCUGCAAUCCUAUUAGCAUGAUGAGAGGAAAUGGGGAGACUGGUCUCCCCCGCACCCCCCUCCCUCCGCUGACCUGUGUUCUCUUCCCUGAUGGACUUUCCUGUUCCAGCAGAGGUAGAGCUGGGCCAUCUCUAUCCCUGUCUUUACUUUGUGUUACACUGACCUGCAACUUCUUACUUCCUUGUUGAGAAUAAAAAUCUGGAUAUGAAUUUGCUUUUUCAAAUUCUUGCCAUGAGGCAUUGAUGGGUUAAUUAAAGAAGAAGAUUCCUAAAGUUUG